AUGGCUCCCGCAGCAGCUGCGCACAUCAUGGUGGUCGCUGUGGUUGCGGCGAUGCUCCUCGCGGCGGCGCACACCGCCGACGCCGCCAUCAGCUGCGGCCAGGUGAACUCUGCAUUGGGACCCUGCCUCACCUACGCGCGUGGCGGCGCUGGCCCGUCCGCAGUAUGCUGCAGCGGCGUCAAGAGACUCGCCGCUGCCACCCAGACCACUGUUGACAGGCGCGCCGUGUGCAACUGCCUCAAGAUGGCCGUCGGCCGCAUGAGCGGGUUCAAGGCCGGCAACAUCGCCAGCAUCCCGUCCAAGUGCGGCGUCAGCGUCCCCUAUGCCGUCGGCGCCUCUGUCGACUGCUCCAGGGUCAGCUGA
RNAcentral lists this ribosomal RNA (363 nucleotides) under Triticum aestivum (bread wheat). RNAcentral's name for it is "partial small subunit ribosomal RNA". Lineage: Eukaryota; Viridiplantae; Streptophyta; Magnoliopsida; Poales; Poaceae. The record is from RNAcentral.